Molecule: long non-coding RNA, 762 nt
Organism: Apodemus sylvaticus (European woodmouse)
Lineage: Eukaryota; Metazoa; Chordata; Mammalia; Rodentia; Muridae
Exons: 3
Source: RefSeq, a predicted model, not a curated record
UCGCUCUGUGCUUAAGAUGUACGACCUCUGACUUGGCUCUAACUUGAAACCAACUGUCUUCUUUCUGGUCCUUUUUGCUGCACCUCCUUUUUCUCAAACUCCUCUUCCAGGUACCCGGAGCCCUACACCUAAAGCUCUGCUGAGCUCCGCGGGCCUGCUUGCUGGUCUCUGCGGGCCUGCUCCCGAGCCUCCGCUUGAACUCAGCUCCAGCACCAGCUCCUUCAGGCCACCCCUGAUUUUUUUUUGCAGAAUAAUACUUGGAUGAAUAGUACAAAAAUAAAGUGGUAUGAAAUAAAUGCAUUCUUUAGAAGUGGUCCCUUGGGCUGGAGAGUACGACUGCUCUUCUGAAGGUCCUGAUUUCAAAUCCCAGCAACCACAUGAUGGCUCACAACUAUCUGUAAUGAGAUCAGAUGCCCUUUUCUGUUCUACAAGAUGGACCAAGAAGUUCCUAUUGCUUGAAGAGAUGAAUCUAUGUCUGUAACAUAUUUUGCAAACCUUCAGCCAGGAGUUAAGAUCAUUUGGAACUGGAGUACAACAAUUGGAGCUGCCUGAUGUGGGUGCUGGGGAGUAAGCCUGUGUCUUCUACAAGAAUAAAAAAAUGCUCUUAACUCUGGAGGCAUCUCUCUAGCCCCAUGUUCUGUUAACUAUAAAAACCUUAUGAAGCUGUUACCAUGUGGAAAUAGAAUAUUUGGUCAAUCUGAAUCUGUUCCUUGGUCAUGGUCACUCAUGUUUGGUUCCAAAAUAAAUUCUUAGUCCCUUUGA